Molecule: transfer RNA, 74 nt
Filed under: Candidatus Liptonbacteria bacterium
Lineage: Bacteria; Candidatus Liptoniibacteriota
Description: tRNA-Val
Rfam family: tRNA
About the family: Transfer RNA (tRNA) molecules are approximately 80 nucleotides in length. Their secondary structure includes four short double-helical elements and three loops (D, anti-codon, and T loops). Further hydrogen bonds mediate the characteristic L-shaped molecular structure. tRNAs have two regions of fundamental functional importance: the anti-codon, which is responsible for specific mRNA codon recognition, and the 3' end, to which the tRNAs corresponding amino acid is attached (by aminoacyl-tRNA synthetases). tRNAs cope with the degeneracy of the genetic code in two manners: having more than one tRNA (with a specific anti-codon) for a particular amino acid; and 'wobble' base-pairing, i.e. permitting non-standard base-pairing at the 3rd anti-codon position.
Source: RNAcentral
GGACGGUUAGCUCAGCUGGUUAGAGCACUGCAUUCACAUUGCAGGGGUCACUGGUUCGAAUCCAGUACCGUCCA